ACUCGUAGCUCAAUUGGAUACCUGCCUGCCGGCAGGCAGGGAGCGUUGGCCUCCGGAGCCAAAGGUUUCGGGUUCGACUCCCGACGAGUGUA
Molecule: transfer RNA, 92 nt
Filed under: Ignavibacteriota bacterium
Lineage: Bacteria; Pseudomonadati; Ignavibacteriota
Description: Ignavibacteriae bacterium (groundwater metagenome) tRNA-Arg
Rfam family: tRNA
About the family: Transfer RNA (tRNA) molecules are approximately 80 nucleotides in length. Their secondary structure includes four short double-helical elements and three loops (D, anti-codon, and T loops). Further hydrogen bonds mediate the characteristic L-shaped molecular structure. tRNAs have two regions of fundamental functional importance: the anti-codon, which is responsible for specific mRNA codon recognition, and the 3' end, to which the tRNAs corresponding amino acid is attached (by aminoacyl-tRNA synthetases). tRNAs cope with the degeneracy of the genetic code in two manners: having more than one tRNA (with a specific anti-codon) for a particular amino acid; and 'wobble' base-pairing, i.e. permitting non-standard base-pairing at the 3rd anti-codon position.
Source: RNAcentral